UACGUAGGCAGCGAGCGUUGUUCGGAGUUACUGGGCGUAAAGGGUGUGUAGGCGGUUGUUUAAGUUUUGUGUGAAAUCUCCCGGCUCAACUGGGAGGGUGCGCCGAAUACUGAAUGACUAGAGUGCGGGAGAGGAAAGUGGAAUUCCUGGUGUAGCGGUGAAAUGCGUAGAUAUCAGGAGGAACACCGGUGGUGUAGACGGCUUUCUGGACCAUAACUGACGCUGAGACACGAAAGCGUGGGUAGCAAACAGG
Molecule: ribosomal RNA, 253 nt
Filed under: uncultured bacterium
Lineage: Bacteria
Description: partial 16S ribosomal RNA
Rfam family: Bacterial small subunit ribosomal RNA
Source: RNAcentral